Molecule: transfer RNA, 76 nt
Filed under: Coriobacteriia bacterium
Lineage: Bacteria; Bacillati; Actinomycetota; Coriobacteriia
Description: tRNA-Phe
Rfam family: tRNA
About the family: Transfer RNA (tRNA) molecules are approximately 80 nucleotides in length.
Source: RNAcentral
GGCCAGGUAGCUCAGCUGGUAGAGCAGGGGACUGAAAAUCCCCGUGUCGGCGGUUCAAGUCCGUCCCUGGCCACCA